Molecule: ribosomal RNA, 423 nt
Filed under: uncultured bacterium
Lineage: Bacteria
Description: bacterial SSU rRNA
Rfam family: Bacterial small subunit ribosomal RNA
Source: RNAcentral
AUUUUGGACAAUGGGGGCAACCCUGAUCCAGCCAUGCCGCGUGCGGGAAGAAGGCCUUCGGGUUGUAAACCGCUUUUAGCCGGGACGAAAGCCUCACUCCUAAUACGGGUGGGGGUUGACGGUACCGGCGGAAUAAGCACCGGCUAACUACGUGCCAGCAGCCGCGGUAAUACGUAGGGUGCGAGCGUUAAUCGGAAUUACUGGGCGUAAAGCGUGCGCAGGCGGUUCGUUGUGUCGGCGGUGAAAGCCCCGGGCUCAACCUGGGAAUGGCCGUUGAAACUGGCGAACUGGAGUGUGGCAGAGGGGGGUGGAAUUCCGCGUGUUGCAGUGAAAUGCGUAGAGAUGCGGAGGAACACCGAUGGCGAAGGCAGCCCCCUGGGCUGACACUGACGCUCAGGCACGAAAGCGUGGGGAGCAAACAGG